CUUUUUGGAAUUUUGUAAGAUUUAUUGAGAAUAGAACAGGCUUCCUGUCCCCUAACCCUGUGGUGGAUCCUGAGAAGAGGGAAGCCUAGGUCUGGGUGGUGUGGGCUGGAGGCCCUACCCACCUGCAAAUGGGGACUCCCAGGCCCCCGCGGGUGCAUACAGUGAACAAGGCUUUCAAUUUUCUUUUAAAACCCCUGAUUAAAAUUGAGAUUUUCAAAACAAAAAGAAUAUAAAACAUUGAGGACUAAAAGGAACAUUUUGGUCUGGGCAGGAAGAAGAGCACUGCGGCCUCCUAGGCUGCAUUUUGGGGGAAUGUUGGUGGGGGGCUGUGGUCAGGUGAUGGGGCUCCCUAUCUCCUGCCGAGCCCAGUGGGUGGCCUGACUCUGGUGAGCACCACACACCCCAGAGUCCCAUCUUCCAGGAAAAGCUGGGGUCUUACAGCAGAGAGGCUCUGGGAGCACAUCUCCCCUUCUGGUCCCCAAAGGCCCCCAGCUGCCUGGCCCCUGGCCCACUAACCCAGGCAUGCUCCUUCCAGCACUGGGCAGAGGAGUCAGGAAGAUGCCCUUCCUCACCCCCACUGACGCCACCUCUCCAGGGACCUUAACGCAGGGGCUGGGAAUGGAAUCGGAAGCUAGAAUGAGCAGGCAGCAGCAGCUCCCCUAGGUAUCUGCCUCUGAGAGGACCUGAGGACAGAGGCGAGGCCCAAGGCAGAGGCCGGAGUAGGGCCCCGCUUCACCUGGGGCCUCAAAGGUGUCGUUUAUUCAUUUGGCAAAUCUCCACUGAGUGAGGAAAUGGAUGGGUGAGAGGAUGGGAUUAGAGAAUGAACAAAUGUCACCUGCAUAUUUUCCCAAUUCCAGCCUGAGCAGGAACCCGGCAGGAGCCAAGAGUCCUUUCAAGGUGGGAGAACACCAGGUAUUGCUGAUGGGGAAAGUGAGGUCUGGGAGGCUGGGUUGGGCCCAGUGGGGACAUGCAGAUGGUGGUGGGAACGGUCAGAGCCAGGUAGGUGGGCAGGUGUCAGACAGCCAUGAGGGAGGUGCUGCUGAGAAUGUGCACGGCCACAGUGCCUGGCAGGUUGCUGGGCUGCCGGCUAUUUCGGUCCCGGAGGUGGAGGGUAUGCAGGGCCUGGAGGUUGUCCGGGUCAGCCUUUAGGUGCACCUGGCCCAGAAAUUCAUCCUUCAGCA
This 1181-nucleotide long non-coding RNA is filed under the name Homo sapiens (human). RNAcentral's name for it is "long non-coding RNA NONHSAT160547.1". Lineage: Eukaryota; Metazoa; Chordata; Mammalia; Primates; Hominidae. The record is from RNAcentral.